RNAcentral lists this ribosomal RNA (948 nucleotides) under Strongyloides venezuelensis. Its description in RNAcentral is "16S ribosomal RNA". The record is from RNAcentral. Lineage: Eukaryota; Metazoa; Nematoda; Chromadorea; Rhabditida; Strongyloididae.
UAAUUUUUUGUUAUAUAUAUAUUAGGAUUGCAUCCUAUUGUAGGAUAAUUUACAUUUUUAUGUAUAAUUGAAAUACAGAGUAGGAUGUCUAUUUGGUGUCAAUGUUACAAAUUGACUUUUAUUAGAUAUGGAGUUGAAAUUUCGUUCUGUAUGAUAUCAGUUUUUUUUUCAUAUACUAGAAAAUUGUAACUUUUGAUUUUUUGUUUUUGGGUGUCUAGAGUUCGUAGUGCUUUUGUUAUUAGUUUCAUAACUAUACCCGGAUAAAAUAUUUAUUUUUUUUUUUAUAUUGUAAAGCUUUACAAUAUUAAUUAUCUACAAAUUAGUAGACUUGUAAAAUAUUAUAUGUGUUUUUAAUAUAUUUGGAAAACUCAGAGUCGAGAUCAAAUGUUUUUUAAAGACUUAGGGUAUUUAAUAUACCUGGCUUCUGCCCGAUGUAUUAAUUUAUCAAUGGCAGACUUAGCGUGAGGUCAUUAAGGUAGCAAAAUCAUUUGUUUCUUUAUUGGAUUCCAGUAUGAAUGAAGUUUUGGUCAGUUUUCUUUCUUCUUUUAUUUCGAAUUUAUUAUCUAUCUAAGAAAUGAUAGGUGCAUUAAUACAAAGAUAAGUCUUCGGAAACUCUAUUUGUUAUUUUUUAUUAUUUAAAAAUGACAAGUUAGCUAGGGCAGUUAAUUAAAUAAUCAUUUUUUUCCUAUUUUUAUUACAAGGAGUUACUCCGGAGUUAACAGAAAUUCAUACCUGAUUUAGUUCUUAUAAUAGGGUAAGUUUUACAUCGAUGUUGUAUCUCCAUAUACCGAGAAAGAACAAGGCUUGGUAAUUCAGACUGUUCUUCUGUGAGAUAAUGGGACGUGAUAUUAGUUUAAUUCGACGUAAGUCAGAAUUGUUUAUCUUGAUUAUUGCUUUUAUUUAGUAUGUUUAGUACGUAAGGAAUUACACUACAGUAUUAUACUUUUU